GACGAACGCUGGCGGCGUGCCUAAUACAUGCAAGUAGAACGCUGAAGGAGGAGCUUGCUUCUCUGGAUGAGUUGCGAACGGGUGAGUAACGCGUAGGUAACCUGCCUGGUAGCGGGGGAUAACUAUUGGAAACGAUAGCUAAUACCGCAUAAGAGUAGAUGUUCCAUGACAUUUGCUUAAAAGGUGCAAUUGCAUCACUACCAGAUGGACCUGCGUUGUAUUAGCUAGUUGGUGGGGUAACGGCUCACCAAGGCGACGAUACAUAGCCGACCUGAGAGGGUGAUCGGCCACACUGGGACGGAGACACGGCCCAGACUCCUACGGGAGGCAGCAGUAGGGAAUCUUCGGCAAUGGACGGAAGUCUGACCGAGCAACGCCGCGUGAGUGAAGAAGGUUUUCGGAUCGUAAAGCUCUGUUGUAAGAGAAGAACGAGUGUGAGAGUGGAAAGUUCACACUGUGACGGUAUCUUACCAGAAAGGGACGGCUAACUACGUG
RNAcentral lists this ribosomal RNA (495 nucleotides) under uncultured bacterium. RNAcentral's name for it is "partial 16S ribosomal RNA". It matches the Rfam family "Bacterial small subunit ribosomal RNA", at positions 28 to 507 of the family's 1533-position model. The record is from RNAcentral.